UACGUAGGGUGCGAGCGUUGUCCGGAUUUAUUGGGCGUAAAGAGCGUGUAGGCGGCCAGGUAGGUCUGCUGUGAAAACUCGAGGCUUAACCUCGAGAUGUCGGCGGAAACCAUCUGGCUAGAGUCCGGAAGAGGAGAGUGGAAUUCCUGGUGUAGCGGUGAAAUGCGCAGAUAUCAGGAAGAACACCCGUGGCGAAGGCGGCUCUCUGGGACGGUACUGACGCUGAGACGCGAAAGCGUGGGGAGCGAACAGG
This 253-nucleotide ribosomal RNA is filed under the name uncultured bacterium. RNAcentral describes it as "partial 16S ribosomal RNA". It matches the Rfam family "Bacterial small subunit ribosomal RNA", at positions 524 to 776 of the family's 1533-position model. The record is from RNAcentral.